GACGAACGCUGGCGGCGUGCUUAACACAUGCAAGUCGAACGGAAAGGCCCUGCUUUUGUGGGGUGCUCGAGUGGCGAACGGGUGAGUAACACGUGAGUAACCUGCCCUUGACUUUGGGAUAACUUCAGGAAACUGGGGCUAAUACCGGAUAGGAGCUCCUGCUGCAUGGUGGGGGUUGGAAAGUUUCGGCGGUUGUGGAUGGACUCGAGGCUUAUCAGCUUGUUGGUGGGGUAGUGGCUUACCAAGGCUUUGACGGGUAGCCGGCCUGAGAGGGUGACCGGCCACAUGGGGACUGAGAUACGGACCAGAAUCCUACGGGAGGCAGUAGUGGGGAAUAUUGCACAAUGGGCGGAAGCCUGAUGCAGCAACGCCGCGUGCGGGAUGACGGCCUUCGGGUUGUAAACCGCUUUCGCCUGUGACGAAGCGUGAGUGACGGUAAUGGGUAAAGAAGCACCGGCUAACUACGUG
This 468-nucleotide ribosomal RNA is filed under the name uncultured bacterium. RNAcentral's name for it is "partial 16S ribosomal RNA". It matches the Rfam family "Bacterial small subunit ribosomal RNA", at positions 28 to 507 of the family's 1533-position model. The record is from RNAcentral.